GCCUUCGUAGCUCAGGGGAUAGAGCACCGCUCUCCUAAAGCGGGUGUCGGCAGUUCGAAUCUGCCCGGGGGCA
Molecule: transfer RNA, 73 nt
Filed under: Streptomyces acidiscabies
Lineage: Bacteria; Bacillati; Actinomycetota; Actinomycetes; Kitasatosporales; Streptomycetaceae
Also listed under: 16 other names
Rfam family: tRNA
About the family: Transfer RNA (tRNA) molecules are approximately 80 nucleotides in length. Their secondary structure includes four short double-helical elements and three loops (D, anti-codon, and T loops).
Source: Rfam by way of RNAcentral